UCCCCUUGCCUCUCGCCUUCAAGACAUCUUUCAUCCUCAAAACACAUUUUCCAAAAUCCAUCUGCUGAUAAUUCUCUGGCACAUACUCCCCACUAACGAUACAUAACACCUUCAUCCCCCUCUUAUACUUCAGCCCACUAAGCAGCUUGGGCGUGAUGAGGAAAUACUGGCCCCCGCCAUCUCCACUCUCACCCGAAGCACAUGCAAUAUCUACCAUGCGCUCAUGCACCAUCCGCUCGUUUCGCGGGUCCAUGCCCUGGUUGAUUUCAUCCACGACACGGAACGGCGAGGCUGAAAGCGACUGUAGGGCCAUGAGGUAGAAGAUCGUGCUGACUGCCCGCUCCCCACCAGAUUGCCUAUGCGCGUCCAGGACGGAGAAGUUUUCGUUUUCGCGGAACCUCACUUGGAUGCGGAUGGACCAC
RNAcentral lists this small RNA (422 nucleotides) under Histoplasma capsulatum. RNAcentral describes it as "hypothetical RNA". Lineage: Eukaryota; Fungi; Ascomycota; Eurotiomycetes; Onygenales; Ajellomycetaceae. RNAcentral also lists the same sequence under 1 other name. The record is from RNAcentral.